This 404-nucleotide ribosomal RNA is filed under the name uncultured bacterium. RNAcentral describes it as "bacterial SSU rRNA". It matches the Rfam family "Bacterial small subunit ribosomal RNA", at positions 355 to 776 of the family's 1533-position model. The record is from RNAcentral.
UAGGGAAUCUUGCGCAAUGGGCGAAAGCCUGACGCAGCCAUGCCGCGUGAAUGAUGAAGGUCUUAGGAUUGUAAAAUUCUUUCACCGGGGACGAUAAUGACGGUACCCGGAGAAGAAGCCCCGGCUAACUUCGUGCCAGCAGCCGCGGUAAUACGAAGGGGGCUAGCGUUGCUCGGAAUUACUGGGCGUAAAGGGCGCGUAGGCGGAUAGUUUAGUCAGAGGUGAAAGCCCAGGGCUCAACCUUGGAAAUGCCUUUGAUACUGGCUAUCUUGAGUACGGGAGAGGUGUGUGGAACUCCGAGUGUAGAGGUGAAAUUCGUAGAUAUUCGGAAGAACACCGGUGGCGAAGGCGACACACUGGCCCGUUACUGACGCUGAGGCGCGAAAGCGUGGGGAGCAAACAGG